This is a long non-coding RNA of Teleopsis dalmanni, 591 nucleotides long. RefSeq lists it as uncharacterized. The transcript has 3 exons. The record is from RefSeq and is a predicted model, not a curated record. NCBI's taxonomy places the organism in Eukaryota, Metazoa, Arthropoda, Insecta, Diptera, Diopsidae.
UUGGACUGCAAGUGCCAGGCUUAGAGCUCUUGCCUGUUAAAUUAGAAGCCAUGACUUAUCAUGUAUUUUCACAAGUAACCAAAACUGUACAAACACUUCUUUAGUUACACCUAUUAAUUUUAGCCGAAAUUACAAAUAUCGCCAAAAUGAUACAAAACCUAUGUACAAUCAAAUCGGCCGAAAAAUAUAGUUAAUAGUGAUCAGAACACGUUACUACAUUAUUAUUAUUUGAAUGUUAUUGAUAGCAAAUAUAUUUCAAACUGAUCAACUAUCUGUAGUAGAUGCAUUAUCAACAAGAAACAUAAUUAUAAUGAAGUGUAAGUGUAAGUGUUUUCAUUAUUGUAUGAAGUCAUCAGUUCUCAAAGAACGUUACCAUUAAUCUAUCCCAUCAAAAGGUUUACCACAUCUGCAAGACACACCAAGUUCUUCACUUUUAAACGAUCCUGGAAACAAAGCGCUGCAUGGAAAAUUUAACUAUUGAUUUAUUGAAAUCUUAUAGAAGCUGUAAACUAGUUAACUAUAUUUUUUGGUUUGGGAAACAUCUAAAUAAUACAUUUUGGUAAUAUAUAUCAUGUAGACUUUCACUUAGAA